RNAcentral lists this ribosomal RNA (850 nucleotides) under Salmonella enterica subsp. enterica serovar Stanley. Its description in RNAcentral is "partial 23S ribosomal RNA". It matches the Rfam family "Bacterial large subunit ribosomal RNA", at positions 711 to 1560 of the family's 2925-position model. Lineage: Bacteria; Pseudomonadati; Pseudomonadota; Gammaproteobacteria; Enterobacterales; Enterobacteriaceae. The record is from RNAcentral.
AGACCCGAAACCCGGUGAUCUAGCCAUGGGCAGGUUGAAGGUUGGGUAACACUAACUGGAGGACCGAACCGACUAAUGUUGAAAAAUUAGCGGAUGACCUGUGGCUGGGGGUGAAAGGCCAAUCAAACCGGGAGAUAGCUGGUUCUCCCCGAAAGCUAUUUAGGUAGCGCCUCGUGAAUUCAUCUCCGGGGGUAGAGCACUGUUUCGGCUAGGGGGCCAUCCCGGCUUACCAACCCGAUGCAAACUGCGAAUACCGGAGAAUGUUAUCACGGGAGACACACGGCGGGUGCUAACGUCCGUCGUGAAGAGGGAAACAACCCAGACCGCCAGCUAAGGUCCCAAAGUCAUGGUUAAGUGGGAAACGAUGUGGGAAGGCCCAGACAGCCAGGAUGUUGGCUUAGAAGCAGCCAUCAUUUAAAGAAAGCGUAAUAGCUCACUGGUCGAGUCGGCCUGCGCGGAAGAUGUAACGGGGCUAAACCAUGCACCGAAGCUGCGGCAGCGACACUGUGUGUUGUUGGGUAGGGGAGCGUUCUGUAAGCCUGUGAAGGUGUGUCGUGAGGCAUGCUGGAGGUAUCAGAAGUGCGAAUGCUGACAUAAGUAACGAUAAAGCGGGUGAAAAGCCCGCUCGCCGGAAGACCAAGGGUUCCUGUCCAACGUUAAUCGGGGCAGGGUGAGUCGACCCCUAAGGCGAGGCCGAAAGGCGUAGUCGAUGGGAAACGGGUUAAUAUUCCCGUACUUGGUGUUACUGCGAAGGGGGGACGGAGAAGGCUAUGUUGGCCGGGCGACGGUUGUCCCGGUUUAAGCGUGUAGGUGUGUGUUCCAGGUAAAUCCGGUUCACUUUAACACUGAG